UGAUCGAGACUACACUGAGCUUGCUAGA
RNAcentral lists this small RNA (28 nucleotides) under Bombyx mori (domestic silkworm). Its description in RNAcentral is "ovarian small RNA-32656". The record is from RNAcentral. Lineage: Eukaryota; Metazoa; Arthropoda; Insecta; Lepidoptera; Bombycidae.